CAACUAUAAAAUACACCAUUGGAGGGCAAGUCUGGUGCCAGCAGCCGCGGUAAUUCCAGCUCCAAUAGCGUAUAUUAAAGUUGUUGCAGUUAAAAAGCUCGUAGUUGAACUUUGGGCCUGGGCGGACGGUCUACCUAUGGUAAGCACUGUUGCGGCCGGGUCUUUCCUUCUGGCUAGCCCUCGGGCGAACCAGGACGAUUACUUUGAGGAAAUUAGAGUGUUCAAAGCAGGCCUUUGCUCGGAUAUAUUAGCAUGGAAUAAUAGAAUAGGACGCAUGGUUCUAUUUUGUUGGUUUCUAGGACCAUCGUAAUGAUUAAUAGGGACGGUCGGGGGCAUCAGUAUUCAGUCGUCAGAGGUGAAAUUCUUGGAUUGACUGAAGACUAACUACUGCGAAAGCAUUUGCCAAGGACGUUUUCAUUAAUCAAGAACGAAAGUUAGGGGAUCGAAGAUGAUCUAGAUACCGUCCGAAGAUAAUUUG
Molecule: ribosomal RNA, 478 nt
Filed under: Pichia kudriavzevii
Lineage: Eukaryota; Fungi; Ascomycota; Pichiomycetes; Pichiales; Pichiaceae
Description: SSU rRNA
Rfam family: Eukaryotic small subunit ribosomal RNA
Source: RNAcentral